RNAcentral lists this ribosomal RNA (253 nucleotides) under uncultured bacterium. RNAcentral describes it as "partial 16S ribosomal RNA". It matches the Rfam family "Bacterial small subunit ribosomal RNA", at positions 524 to 776 of the family's 1533-position model. The record is from RNAcentral.
UACGGGGGGAGCAAGCGUUGUUCGGAUUUACUGGGCGUAAAGGGCGCGUAGGCGGCACCGCAAGUCGACUGUGAAAUCUCCGGGCUUAACCCGGAAAGGUCAGCCGAUACUGCGGGGCUAGAGUGCAGAAGGGGCAACUGGAAUUCUCGGUGUAGCGGUGAAAUGCGUAGAUAUCGAGAGGAACACCUGCGGCGAAGGCGGGUUGCUGGGCUGACACUGACGCUGAUGCGCGAAAGCGUGGGGAGCGAUCCGG